AUACGUAGGGAGCGAGCGUUGUCCGGAUUUACUGGGCGUAAAGGGCGCGUAGGCGGGUAAAUAAGUCAGAUGUGAAAACUAUGGGCUCAACCCAUAGCCUGCAUUUGAAACUGUAUAUCUUGAGGGCAGGAGAGGAAAGUGGAAUUCCUAGUGUAGCGGUGAAAUGCGUAGAUAUUAGGAGGAACACCAGUGGCGAAGGCGACUUUCUGGACUGAACCUGACGCUGAAGCGCGAAAGCAUGGGGAGCAAACAGGAUUAGAUACCCUGGUAGUCCAUGCCGUAAACGAUGAAUACUAGGUGUAGGGGGUAUCGACCCCCUCUGUGCCGCAGUUAACACAAUAAGUAAUCCACCUGGGGAGUACGGCCGCAAGGUUGAAACUCAAAUGAAUUGACGGGG
Molecule: ribosomal RNA, 397 nt
Filed under: uncultured bacterium
Lineage: Bacteria
Description: partial 16S ribosomal RNA
Rfam family: Bacterial small subunit ribosomal RNA
Source: RNAcentral